AGUCUUCAAGUAAUGAUGUUGCACCUCUAGAUUUACAAUAAACUAUUAUAAAUUAUCUUGAAGUUCAAACAGGGAUGUAUAAUAGAGGGAUCCGCAACUCGAUUUUAAGCCGAAUAUGCUGUCGUGCAGUUUUCGCGCAUGCGCACUCGUCUGAAGCUGAAAACGAAAAUGGUGGAUCAGACGACUUUUGUUAGGUUAAAAAAUCAUCAUAAUCACCGUUAUUAAACGAUCAUCGAGACCAAAUACACAUGGUACAAUGACAAGUUGAUGUUCACCUAACCAUGCAAGUAUAACUUUGCAGAGACAUCUUCAUUGUUGACUACUGGAAGAAUAUUUAAAAUGCCAGCACGAAGGAAGACGAGAGUCGGCCAAAGAAAGAAAUACGCUUCUGUUCAGAAGAAAUCCAAAGUGUUUAAGAUUGAAGACGCUGUCGCAGCAGAAUCUGAUGCAUUCUUUGCAAAGCCACUGGACUUCUUUUUUUCCGAUGCGGAGGACAUUAAUAGCUUAACUGAUGUCAUUCCUGAGGCGGGACCUGUUGAAGAUAUCGAUAUUGGUGGGUUUUCUGCAAAUGAAUUCAUAGUUUGUUUGGAUAGACCAUACACAUACUCACCGGAUGUUGUUUUAGAGGACUUUAUAUUGAGCAAACUGAGAGAAAGCUGUGAGCAGGCUUUAAAAAGUGAUAAGAAAUUUAUGUAUAUGACUAACUCUUCAAAUUUGAAAUGUAUAGAACUGUAUGACAGUGAUGAGCACUGGGAAACGCCCAGAGUUAAGACAUGCAUAAGUGUAGAUAAAGACCUGGCAAUAAAAAUCAUGGUGCAAUGCAAGUCUUUACCUGACAGUCACACAAUUUAUAGAAGAAUUGGAAGCUCAUGCUAUUCUAUCAAGUCUAUUCAAAAAGUGUUUGACAUUAUCAGUGACUAUCACAUUUGUGAAGGAAACAAUGAUGCAGAGCUUCAAGAUCUCAUUCCGGUUGGAUCUUUUAUGGAUAUAACCAAAGGUAACAAGUAUCAAGGUUACCGUGACUCUUUUUUUCAACCAGUCAACGAUAAGAUCAAAGAGAUGUGACUUGUUUGUACAAAGGAAAAUUAGUCGCUGUUGUGUUUGUCAAACUUACCGUCGAACACUUCGCAAAGUUUUGAAUCGAAAAAAGUUCUCCUAAAGUUUCUACACCCAAGAAGGAUUGGACUAAAUGUAAAACUUCCAACAAGAACUUAACAGAACAUCAAAAAUUUUAUAAAAUUAAACAACUGAAAGACAUUACCUCCCAGUUGCAAUUGGAAAAUGCCCGUUUAAGACGUGAAAUUACUAAAAAAAUUAGAAGUGAAGGUGUCUGCUUGUCGGAAAAAGAAGUAAAGACUUAUCUGAACUGAUGCAAAGUUGUGAAUGGGACGUUAAAAAGAGUCACCCGGAUGAAUCUUCAUAUCAGCGUUUGUUCUGGGAAGAACAAUUCAAGUAUUCUCAACUAAACGACAAUCGGGGCAUGCGCUGGCACCCAUCAAUUAUAAAAUGGUGCAUUUAUUAAAAAAGUACAAGUGCUACAACAUACGACACUUUGAGGAAUUCCGGUUUUGUUAAACUACCCUCCGAGCGAACUCUGUUUGACUACACAAAUGCUAAUGCUUAAGAAGUAGGGUUCCUUGAGGGCAACAUUGACAUGCUUAUAGAUGAAACGGAAGGCUACACAGAUCACCAAAGGAUAGUUGGGUUGCUUCAGGAUGAAGUAAAAUAAAAGAAUGACCUCGCUUAUGACAGACAUACUGGUGAACUCAUAGAAUUUGUGAAUCUUGGCUCAAUCAAUAAAAAUUUGAACGAUCUGAAAAAUGAAUGUGACAGUUUAGCGAAAUAUGUGUUGGUUGUGAUGGUACGUGGUAUAUCGUCAAAUUUGAAAUUGCCACUCGCUCAUUUUGCAACUCACGGAGUAACUUCCGACCAGUUAUUUUGCAUAUAAUGGGAAGCAGUUGAGGUAUGUAAAGUGGAUGUUGGUCUAAAAGUGCUCUUCAUCACAAGUGAUGGGGCAUCACCAAACAGGCGUUUUAUUCGUCUUCAUGGAGGCGGAAAUGGCACUGUGUACAAAAGUAAUAAUGUAUUUUCCCAUGAACCUAGAGAGAUAUUCUUUAUCAGUGAUGUAUCCCACCUUAUAAAAACUACAAAAAAUUGCUUUUCGAAUUCAAAUUCUCAUCGCAAUAGUCGCAAAAUGUGGAAAGACGGUCAUGAUAUAUCAUGGAUGCAGAUUAUCAACCUGUAUAAGGAUCAUUGUUGUGGCCUUUACAGACUUUGUCCAAAACUGACACAAGAACACAUCGAUAUUACUUCAUUUGGUGCAAUGAAAGUUAAACUAGCGACUCAAGUCCUUUCAUCUACUGUUGCCCAUGCUUUAGAGCUAAAUUAUGAUGAUCGUGUGACAGAAACUGUAAAAUUUAUUAGACACAUGAAUAAAUUUUUCGAUUGUCUAAAUAACAGGCAUCUUGGUGAAGCCAAUCGGACUCGCAAUGAAAAUUUGAGAGAAUACAGAGAUGUAAAUGACAGUAGAUUGCUAUAUUUGAAACAAGAGUUUCUAGAAUACUUUGAAGAUUGGAAAAGAAGUGUGGAAAAUAGACGGGGUACAUUCACUAAAGGUCAGAUGAAUGGAAUGAUGCUCAGCUUCCAAACAUUAGACGGGUUUAACAUCACCGUGAAUUCCGUGAUAGAUUGUGUCAAGUUUUGUUUAAACCAAGGAAUGGAAUUUGUUUUGACUGAAAAAUUUAACCAAGACACAAUCGAACAACACUUUGGAAUCCAUCGAGCUAGUUUGGGCAGCAAUACAAAUCCACGGUUGUAUGACUUUAACAAUUCCAUGGUUAAAAUCCGUACUGCAGGAAGCCAAGCAAUAGAACCUUUUCGUGGAAAUACGAAGCGAAGAAUAGAACUUGCUCCAUUAGAUGACUUGCCACUUCGGAAAAGAGUAAAACAUAUGAAAUAGAAGGCCAACUUAACUGCUUGCAAAACUUUUAUUUGACUGUAUCACUGUAAAGUAAAGGGAAAUGCUAUUGUAUUGUUGUUCUGAAAUAAAUAUAUAGAUAAAAUGACAUUUGGAAAUACAACUUGAAAUCUACAUCAUUUCUUCCUACAAUCAAUUUAUUUAAUAUUGAUGACAGUAAUAUGAUAAUGAUAGGGUUGUGAUUAAUAGAAAAAGCAUUUUUUAUUAAUUUCGGAUAAAGAUUGUUUUAUGUUGUGUACUAGGUGUACUAAUUUAUUACUAUUACAUCAUGUACAGCAGCAUACCCUCAGAUUUAUCAGUAUAAAGAAGUUUAUGAACAUUUAAAAAAAAAAUCAAAAUAAUUAACAAAUUCUGAAGCAAAUCAAGUUUAUUCAAUCUUAAAUCACUUGUCAACAGCACUUUUUAUAACAACCAUACAAUAAGUCAAAAUAUCAUAAGAUCUUGUUUGCAGUUACUCUCUACAUGUAUAUGUAACUAGAUAGAAAUGAAAUUAUAAUAAUAAAAUUUGUAAAUUCUUUCAAGGUAUAGCAAAAUGUCUAAACAAUUUAAUUUACAUAAAAUAUGUAUGUUAGUAAAUAUAAUUUCACUACAUUAAGUAUUUAUCUCAAAAACUACAUUUAAGAGUUCUAUACUCAUCUGAUGGUGUGCAGCUUUGAGAACAGUAUAAUUUAAUUUUGAUUUAACUAAUAUUAUUGAGAACUUAUUCUUGUUUCCACAAUAUUUGUCUUACAUGUUUCUUUCGGUAAGACAAAUAUAUGACACAUGGAUUAAUAUUGUUAAGUUAAGUACAGAUGUUAGUGAUAGCAGUAACUUGUUCUUUCAUACUGGAUAUCAUCAAGUAGGAUUUUUCAAGUCUUGUCAAAGUCAUUCUAUUUAUCAGAGUUUUUUUGUCAUGAAGCACUUUUCUCAAUGAUUUGGUAGCAUCUUUUUUGUCCCCUAUGAGUUGUCUACGUUUAAGUUUUGCCACUGCAGGACCACGAACAUUCAAAAAUAUUGUAAUACAUUAUUCAAUGGGAUAUUUGUUCAUUUAGAAGUUUUUCUGAGUAGAACUUGACCAUAUGAUCUUCCAUGAUAAUUUCUUUAGCACUAAUGAAGGAGUCCUUGCUUAUUUCACAUUCAUUCACAUUUCUUCGGAGACAAAUUUCACAUUCCCGCAUGAAUAAGAAGAAAUCAUCACUCGGGACUACAAGUUUGCCACGACUAAUGGUUGUUGUCCAACAUGAAUAUUUAACUAUGAAAGUCUUUUCUGAGUCAUUACAGUUUUUUUAUAAGACUGGUGAUGGCUUCUGUGUCUAUUGCAUGGGUCUUCUUCUUCAACUGGUACAAUACAUACCCGCUAAUAUGAAGAAUCACAGACUGUUCAGUAUCAUUCAAAGGUGUUGUAAUGCCUUUUUUAUAAGGUAUUUUGUACAUAGAUGCCCUAUUUUCUAUUAGAUCUGUUAGCAACUGACGGUGUAAAACUGCAAUGAACGGUCUAGUAGGAAUUGAUCUCACAGCAUCUUUACAUAUUUUUGAUAUUUGAUCUAUAGAAUCCUCCAUAUACAUGAGUUCAUGGAAUUUCUGUAGAGUGAUUCACUAGUACUACUUUCACUUGAAGCUGCCGAGUUGAAAACCUAAUGAUACCUAGGUUCAAGAUAACUAGCUAGUUGUCUAAGAACAUCUUCACUUUCUUGAAUUUUUGUGAUGAUAUCUAUUAUAUUUCAUCCAUUAACUGAGCGUUUCAUGUUCCGAAACUUGUUUUUACUUACAUUCUCCAGAGAUUGAGAGAAGACACAUGAGAAUGUGUUUGAAAACUGUGUACUGUCAAGAUUGAAAGGUUCAGCUUUGUCUGUGUUAGUGUUCCCUUUUCGAUAUGCAGAUACUGAAAUGAAAUAAAAAAUUGUAUAUAAAUUUUGUAAAUAGGGGAUAUGGAAAACGGAACUGAUAUGUUUCUCACUUUAACCGAUAUAAGUGAAUAUUAAUGAGAUAUGUAUAUUUUUGAAAAUGCUUCAAGCUAUAUUGUAUUCUGGAGUGAAAUAAGUUUUGAGUUUUGUAUUGUGACAAACUGUAUUUUCAGCUUGACUUGUAUAAAGUUUACAGAAUUAGAAGUAUUAUUCAUCAUUUUGCAAACAAGUUCUUGUUCAAAUUGUUGUUUUCGCAAAAUUCGAUAGAUAUUGAAUUGAUGUAAAAUUCUAAUAUGGAUAUUAAAUUGAU
Dreissena polymorpha is the source of this 5170-nucleotide RNA transcript. RefSeq lists it as uncharacterized. NCBI's taxonomy places the organism in Eukaryota, Metazoa, Mollusca, Bivalvia, Myida, Dreissenidae. The record is from RefSeq and is a predicted model, not a curated record. The transcript is spliced from 4 exons.